CCCUUGCCCAUGUCAUCUUCCUGCUCAUGGAUCACAACGGAUCUGCCCAUGAUGGAAUAUGGACCAAACAUAGUGGCAAAGAGAUUUGCAGGUGUCUCAGAAGUCUAACGAUCGUCGCGGAUGAACUGAGCAUGGUUUUCAGCUAUUUCUGUCCUUCUGGUGUACUGAAGAGACACAACCGGCCCCUUCCUACAGGAACAAGCCCCGUCCUGGCCCGGGCUCAUCCCUCUCCUCAGGAGCAUGGUGAGAGAGGGCAGGCUCCUACACUGAGUAGAUUGCCUUUUCCUACAGGCUGUGCACCUCUUUCUGGAAGAGAAGUGCCCAAACAUCUCAGCGCGUCAGCCGAGCAGUGUGGCCUACUGCUGCCCUUCUCUUGCAGACUGCAUUACUCUCUACGUCAUAACGUGAGUGCAGAAAGUUUGCCUCUUUCAGUGGUUCUUCUGUGGCUGUCACUCCCAGGCUGAGCCUCACCAAUCCUCCCUGAGCCCUCAGACUUCAGAGGAACCAAAAGUGUUUACUGGCCCUGUCUCAAUGUAUCUGCAUUACCAGUAUUCCCCUGGGAGAGGCAACGUGUCUUUGAAGUGCUGCUUGACACUAAGCAGUGUCUGAAACCUUACGCACCCAAAACCUAAUGAAAAGCCACUUUUUAUGUGCACAUCCCCACAUUGCUCUAUCUCCCUUCUGCCAAAAUUCUGAUGUAUUUUAAUGUUACAACAGCUAUGGAAGCAAAGAUGAGGUUAAUUCAUGCUAACUAGACUAAAUAUGUUUCCAAAGGUUCACAUUUCUGACCCUCUUCUUGCAAGCAGCACCCAUUUGUAAAAGUCUCCCAGUUUGUCCCCGUUCCCCACCACCUUCAUUGCCACUGCCAAUACUGGCACACCUCACCAAAACCAGGAAAGCUAUGCCCAUUCCUAAGUUUGCAUUUUAACGUUGAGUCAUGUGUGCAUGUCAAGUUACUAAAUAAAGCAAAAAAUGAUGAGGUUUUAUUUACUAGCUCAGGAGGAUCCCAGUACUCCCAGGCCACAGACCAGAAGCCUCCCGUUGGCGCUUAAAUCCUUGCUGACACCUGCAGGCACCAAAGGCUGUGCUUUGCAUGAGAGCAAGCAGGAGCUCAGCAGAAGCUGAGGGCAAUCAUGUUUUAGGAAGACAAAAGCCCACCUGGCUUGGAUAGUAGGCAGCAGCUCCUCCUCUGAUAAGAGCCCAAGUGCAAAUGCUGUGCAUGGAGGCCAGUGCUGUGGGGCCAGCAGCUAUGAAUGGCAGUGGCCCUGGGCUUCUGCUGGGGUCAAUGCUCAGCAGCAUCUGGGAGGCUCCUGAGGAGGUUCCUUGUCCUUGAAUGCUGCAGGAAAGCAGGUUGAGUUCCUGGAGGCUUUCUCAAAGCAGGUAUUUCACCACAGAUGUUGUUCUAUGCUACUAAUAAAAAAAAAAAUUAUGGCUUACUGUUGGAUCCUCAUCUCCUUUGAAAAUAGCGUAUAGUACUUCAGGACCUGAACCUCUUGGUAUUUUUCAAAGCAGUUUGUGGUAAAAGCCACUGUAUUUGUAUCUUUCAGAACAGCAGAAAAAGAAAAGAAAAAACAUGGUGGGUUUUUUUUUUUUUUUUAGAGUAAAAAUUGUUUUCAUGUUAAGUGGCUCCCCACCUCUUUAGCCAUAUUUAUUUUAGUGUGUUGAUUUUUGUAAGCAUAACUGAAACCCUGGGAGACUAAUGAAGUUUAACAAUGUCUGUUAAUUAUAUCCACUCUUGUUGUCUUGGUGAAAACACAGGAUCCUAAAUCCUAUUUACAAACUGAAAUCUCAGAAGUUCCAGCCCCUCAUCUGACCUUAACAUCUCUUGGUUUCAUGCAGCUUUUGUAAGCCUGUGCACGUAUUUAAGUUCCCCUGUGGAGAAUGGUUUUGGAGAUCAGAUGUUCAGGGAUUAGGAACACAAGAGGCUUUUUACCUUGCUUAAAAUCAUUUUGACAUUUUAGUGUAAGUCAUUAAGACUGGUUUCUUGAACUGUCAAAUGGGCCACCGUAUGGGUGAACCAUUUUUAGGAAAACUAAAUAAAACUAUUUUAAUCUCUAAAUGACUCCCCUUUGAGAAUUUUAACAUAAAUGUUUUGCACACUCUGAAGUUCCUAUCUGAGGUAAAUAUUUUCACCUGAAUUCCUCCCCUAGGAAGAUUAAUUCCCAAGUAAAUAAUUAAAGUAAGGGGCCAUCCUGAGGGAGAGCAAGUAGGGAUGGUCACUUCUUGAAGAUGCUCUUAGUAUUGUUUAUAUUUGCUUUUGCUUUCUCUCUUUUGUGCAGUCAAACAAAGCUUCCCCCAAUGGUGUCAGGUUUUAGGAUCUCUGCAGAGCUGCAGCGUGGUUCUGUGGGUUCUGAUGUCAGACCAGGUGAAUCCCAUUAGUUCCAACCCAGCAGCACCAAGGAUCUGAGCAUCUCUGAAGCCAGGUGUUUGGCUCUAGAAAAACAGAGGAUCGACAGGAGGCAAAAACCACGAAGGGACUAAGUUUAUACCAGCCCCAGUGUAUGCAUUAAUAAGCAAGACUGAGAAUACCACCUGCUUACAGAAAGGUUUUCAACUCGCAGGGCAUGGAGUUCUUAAUAGUAUCCAUUAGAUAUAAUGAGGUUUGCUGGUGCAGAUUUCCCCCAUGAAGUUAGUACACACUUGUACAAAAUAAAGCUCUUGCUGGGCUGUUUUUGAAUGUGGAGUCUUUCGGUUCCAGUUAAAAAGGAUAACCAGGUGUUUUCCAGGGCACACGGAGAAAUCUUUGGAUUGGUUGUUGUUCCUACUCUCGGCAUUAGGAUGCCUGCAAAAAAAGAAUAAAAACACAGAAGUAUUUCACUGUGGCCUUCUUGAAAGGAAAGCAAUCCUGCAAAUGCAUCAGAAAUUGUUCUAAUAGAUGCAGGAAAAACAAAGAAAAAUCCAUUUUCUUUGUCCUCUUAUUUUGUUACAAACCUUCCUUCCAUCUUCAGCCUCCAGGUUCCCCUCCCAUGAGUUGUCUGUUUUGUCUCUUGCAAGACUUUAUUCCCCAAACCUGGAGAUGUUAUUAAAACUGAGGAUUAUAAAGUUAUGUAGUACGUGGUAGAAGCCAGAUACAGAUUGGAUGUUUUUAUUAGAGGAUUACCAAAUUUUGUUAACAGGAGGGCGCCUGAGUAAUUCCACUGGAAGCUCUGCUGUGCUUGUUAUGAAACAUCUGAUCCCGAAGCAGACAGAGCUGCACCUCAGCAAGGUCCAGUUCUCUAACCAUGCCAAGGAGAGGUCAUGUUUGUGAUGUGUAAAGCUGGGUCACUGCAAAUGGUGUAUAAUGGUUUCAGUGGAAAAAGUGUAGUGGUCAUGGCAGAAAGUAUCUCGCCUACCAUAAAAUGCCAAAUAUCCCAAUGUCAUGUUCACUUCAGAAUCCUUUUCCACUGCUGGGAGAUAUUAUAGGCAACAAAAUAAAAUCAGCGUAUGAGGUAUGUGCUUCAGUGGUAGUUUUAAAUAUAGUGACAAUGUCUAACACUCUUUGUAGCUUUUCAUAAAUCGCAUAUCCCUAGUACAUGACGCUAGGCCCUUAUGCAAACUUCUUGCUCCUAAGGCAUGAGAUUAUGAUGAUAUAUAACUCUUAAUGUCGAUACAUUGGUGUGCAUGUAAAUAAGGGGUUAACUCAAGCUAGAGAACCUAAAGAAAUUGGAGGAGCGCAUCAACACACACACAAAAAAAUCUGACCUUAGACCACCACUUUUUCAUAGUGGUGAACUUGUCUAACUAAGGCCACCCAAGAGUUACUGAGGAGGUAAUUUCCACAGGUUCUUCAUUUAAGAUGAGGGCGAGCCAAGAAAUUUCCAGAAGCUUCUAGCGUGGCUGGUACCAUCCUGUGAUGGGUUAACCCUGCUGGGCAGCUCAGACCCACCCAGCCACUCAUGCCCCAACGAACAGGAUGGAGGAGAGAACUGGAAGGGCAGAAGUGCAAAAACUUGUGGGUUGAGAUAAAGACAGUUGGAGGUGGAAGGGAAGGCAAAAGACAACAUGUGAUGAAAAAAGCAAUCGCUCCCCACCAGCAGUCCAGUGCCCAGCAGUCCCCGAGUAAUGGCAACUUUGGAAAAGCUUUGGCCCCUAGGUUUAUUGCUGACCAUGAUGUCAUAUGGUGUGGAAUAUCCCUUUGGGUGAUUUGGGUCAGCUGUCCCAGC
Egretta garzetta (little egret) is the source of this 4142-nucleotide long non-coding RNA. RefSeq lists it as uncharacterized. The record is from RefSeq and is a predicted model, not a curated record. Lineage: Eukaryota; Metazoa; Chordata; Aves; Pelecaniformes; Ardeidae. The transcript is spliced from 4 exons.